RNAcentral lists this ribosomal RNA (712 nucleotides) under uncultured bacterium. Its description in RNAcentral is "bacterial SSU rRNA". It matches the Rfam family "Bacterial small subunit ribosomal RNA", at positions 789 to 1501 of the family's 1533-position model. The record is from RNAcentral.
GGUAGUCCACGCUGUAAACGAUGUCGAUUUGGAGGUUGUGCCCUUGAGGCGUGGCUUCCGGAGCUAACGCGUUAAAUCGACCGCCUGGGGAGUACGGCCGCAAGGUUAAAACUCAAAUGAAUUGACGGGGGCCCGCACAAGCGGUGGAGCAUGUGGUUUAAUUCGAUGCAACGCGAAGAACCUUACCUACUCUUGACAUCCAGAGAACUUUCCAGAGAUGGAUUGGUGCCUUCGGGAACUCUGAGACAGGUGCUGCAUGGCUGUCGUCAGCUCGUGUUGUGAAAUGUUGGGUUAAGUCCCGCAACGAGCGCAACCCUUAUCCUUUGUUGCCAGCGGUUCGGCCGGGAACUCAAAGGAGACUGCCAGUGAUAAACUGGAGGAAGGUGGGGAUGACGUCAAGUCAUCAUGGCCCUUACGAGUAGGGCUACACACGUGCUACAAUGGCGUAUACAAAGAGAAGCGACCUCGCGAGAGCAAGCGGACCUCAUAAAGUACGUCGUAGUCCGGAUUGGAGUCUGCAACUCGACUCCAUGAAGUCGGAAUCGCUAGUAAUCGUAGAUCAGAAUGCUACGGUGAAUACGUUCCCGGGCCUUGUACACACCGCCCGUCACACCAUGGGAGUGGGUUGCAAAAGAAGUAGGUAGCUUAACCUUCGGGAGGGCGCUUACCACUUUGUGAUUCAUGACUGGGGUGAAGUCGUAACAAGGUAACC